This 372-nucleotide ribosomal RNA is filed under the name Salmonella enterica. Its description in RNAcentral is "bacterial SSU rRNA". It matches the Rfam family "Bacterial small subunit ribosomal RNA", at positions 733 to 1104 of the family's 1533-position model. The record is from RNAcentral. Lineage: Bacteria; Pseudomonadati; Pseudomonadota; Gammaproteobacteria; Enterobacterales; Enterobacteriaceae.
ACAAAGACUGACGCUCAGGUGCGAAAGCGUGGGGAGCAAACAGGAUUAGAUACCCUGGUAGUCCACGCCGUAAACGAUGUCUACUUGGAGGUUGUGCCCUUGAGGCGUGGCUUCCGGAGCUAACGCGUUAAGUAGACCGCCUGGGGAGUACGGCCGCAAGGUUAAAACUCAAAUGAAUUGACGGGGGCCCGCACAAGCGGUGGAGCAUGUGGUUUAAUUCGAUGCAACGCGAAGAACCUUACCUGGUCUUGACAUCCACGGAAGUUUUCAGAGAUGAGAAUGUGCCUUCGGGAACCGUGAGACAGGUGCUGCAUGGCUGUCGUCAGCUCGUGUUGUGAAAUGUUGGGUUAAGUCCCGCAACGAGCGCAACCC